RNAcentral lists this ribosomal RNA (459 nucleotides) under uncultured bacterium. Its description in RNAcentral is "partial 16S ribosomal RNA". It matches the Rfam family "Bacterial small subunit ribosomal RNA", at positions 338 to 795 of the family's 1533-position model. The record is from RNAcentral.
CCUACGAGAGGCAGCAGUGAGGAAUAUUGGUCAAUGGGCGCGAGCCUGAACCAGCCAAGUCGCGUGAGGGAAGACGGUCCUAUGGAUUGUAAACCUCUUUUGUCGGGGAGCAAAAGACUCCACGCGUGGCGUUCCGCGAGUACCCGAAGAAUAAGCAUCGGCUAACUCCGUGCCAGCAGCCGCGGUAAUACGGAGGAUGCUAGCGUUAUCCGGAUUUAUUGGGUUUAAAGGGUGCGCAGGCGGAAGAUCAAGUCAGCGGUAAAAUUGUGAGGCUCAACCUCAUCGAGCCGUUGAAACUGGUUGUCUUGAGUGAGUGAGAAGUAUGCGGAAUGCGUGGUGUAGCGGUGAAAUGCAUAGAUAUCACGCAGAACUCCGAUUGCGAAGGCAGCAUACCGGCGCUCAACUGACGCUCAUGCACGAAAGUGUGGGUAUCGAACAGGAUUAGAUACCCGGGUAGUC